AUCCCUCCAGCACAUGCUCAAAUCUGCAAAGAAAAAAACUCUUUCUGUCAAAUUAAAUGGAGUUUGAAGUGGGUUACAGGCCUCCAAGUGGCGAGCAUUUCGACUUGAACGGUGACAGAUUCGCCGCCGCAAAGCAGGAUGGGUAAGAAUGGGACGCUGAAAGUAUGGCGGAUGGAGAAGAGCCGGAAAAGAAAAGAAGGAGAAUAGCGGCGCUGACUGAGAAGUUAGUGAUGAAAUGCUAAGAGCUGGCUGCAGCAUGGCAGUUGAAGGUUGCAGUAUUGGUGACUGGGAUGGCCGCUGGAGUCAUGUGCAGAAGUUCCUGGAGAGAACUGGCCCCUUCACACACCCAGACUUUGAACCUAGUG
Long non-coding RNA from Sinocyclocheilus anshuiensis, 365 nucleotides. RefSeq lists it as uncharacterized. The record is from RefSeq and is a predicted model, not a curated record. NCBI's taxonomy places the organism in Eukaryota, Metazoa, Chordata, Actinopteri, Cypriniformes, Cyprinidae. The transcript is spliced from 3 exons.